RNA transcript from Lolium rigidum, 1029 nucleotides. RefSeq lists it as uncharacterized. Lineage: Eukaryota; Viridiplantae; Streptophyta; Magnoliopsida; Poales; Poaceae. The record is from RefSeq and is a predicted model, not a curated record. The transcript is spliced from 6 exons.
UUAGUUUUUCUUUGUUAGUAUCUUUUAUUUGCAAAUAUUCAGUAGCAUAUGCACUUGAACAAACACUGUUGGUUCAGAAUAUUGCUGCAGACCACCACGGUUCAGAUUUUGUUUUUUGUACAGGAACCGAAUGCUAAAGAGUAAGUAUGGAAGGAUGGUCAUAACUUCUACAUUAAGGGAAGAACGUCACAGAAAAACAAGUGAUUUGAGUUUGAUUGGCCAACAAAACAUCCAGGACUAAUGUUAUAGUUUGUUGCCAAGUACUUCUACUGAUGGUUUAAUUUUAUAUUUAGUAGGAGAUUUCAUAUAUAUAUUCUCUCCGCGUGCGCUGGUUGCCUACCGCACGUUCUGGUGGCGUGCCUCACGUCGGUUCACGUCGAAUCCACCGCCGCGAAGGCGCUGGAGGUGCGGCACAAGGCGGAUCAGAAGGUGCAGCUCGGCAAAGAUGCUAAGACCCUCAUGUCAAAUUGACAAAUAAUGUAGGGUACACUGGAUGCGGCAAGAUUUGCUUCUGCUUUUGUUCGGGGAGAUGAUGGUGUCCGUAAGAUAUUUACAGAGCUGGCCUACUGCUACAAGUAUGCCUUAUUAGCUAGCCAUGGACAGAGAUUGAGCUGGUGGAUGUACAAGAUUGUUACGAACUAGCAUACGGAUUGGUGAUGCCUCACCAAUGGCAUACAUUGAGCAAGUUCCUUUGUUCAUACUUCUUUACAUUUUCACAGAGUGGUUUGUCGACAGAGAGAAUGAGCUCAGAGGCCAAACCUGCAACACCACCGCCACCUCUGCAACACCACCACCACCUCUGCGGGUUCCAAUUGAUGCAUGGGCAAAGUCUCGGGCUAGCCAACAAUGUGCAGUACCUAAAAUUUGCUCAACUCUGAAAUCAGAAGCCUUAUGAGUGAAUUAUCUGUUCUGCGUUUUAUUUCUUGUGAAUGAGAAUACCCAUUUUGUCUUGUCAUGCUGGAGGAUUUCUAUCAGAAUAUAAAUUGUCAAUAGAAUAAUUCAACUUAGUUGCUGAUGUUUGAUUUUUUU